UACGUAGGUGGCAAGCGUUGUCCGGAUUUACUGGGCGUAAAGAGCGCGCAGGCGGUCGUUCAAGUCGCGUGUGAAAGCCCCCGGCUCAACUGGGGAGGGUCACGCGAUACUGAUCGACUCGAAGGCAGGAGAGGGAAGUGGAAUUCCCGGUGUAGUGGUGAAAUGCGUAGAUAUCUGGAGGAACACCGGUGGCGAAGGCGGCGUUCUGGACUGCAACUGACACUGAUGAACGAAAGCCAGGGGAGCAAACGGG
This 253-nucleotide ribosomal RNA is filed under the name uncultured bacterium. RNAcentral describes it as "partial 16S ribosomal RNA". It matches the Rfam family "Bacterial small subunit ribosomal RNA", at positions 524 to 776 of the family's 1533-position model. The record is from RNAcentral.